RNAcentral lists this ribosomal RNA (686 nucleotides) under uncultured archaeon SC4. RNAcentral describes it as "bacterial SSU rRNA". It matches the Rfam family "Archaeal small subunit ribosomal RNA", at positions 506 to 1193 of the family's 1478-position model. The record is from RNAcentral.
GGGCCUAAAGCGUUCCGUAGCAGGCUUUGUAAAUGCUUUGUGAAAUCGGCAGGCAUAACUGUCGGCGUGCAGAGUAGACUGCAGGGCUUGAGACCGGGAGAUGUCAGAAGUAUUCCUAGGGUACCGGUAAAAUGGGUUAAUCCUGGGAGGACUACCGAUGGCGAAGGCAUCUGACAAGAACGGUUCUGACUGUGAGGGACGAAAGCCAGGGGAGCAAAACGGAUUAGAUACCCGAGUAGUCCUAGCCGUAAACGCUGCGAGCAAGGUAUUGCGCCUCCCACGAGGAUGCGCAGUGUCGAAAUGAAGAUGUUAAGCUCGCCACCAGGGAAGUACGGUCGCAAGGCUGAAACUUUAAGGAAUUGGCGGGGGAGCGCCACAAGGGGUGCGGCGUGCGGUUCAAUCUAACUCAACGCAGAGAACCUCACUAGGCCCGACGGCAGAAUGAAGGUCAUGCUGAAGACAUUACCUGACAAGCCGAGAGGUAGUGCACGGCCGUCGCCAGCUCGUGCUGUGAAGUGUCCAGUUAAGUCUGGCAACGAGCGAGACCUGUACCCUCUAUUGCUAACGACCACAUGUGGGAUCGAGCACUUUGAGGGGACUGCCCAGGAAACAGGGAGGAAGGUGCAGGCUACGGUAGGUCUGUAUGCUCCGAAUGGUCUAGGCUACACGCGCGCAACAAUGGUGGA